CGACGCCCCAGGGGCCGGUCGCCAGGGGACCCGAACGCCUUUGGUGGCUGCAGCCGCUGCUCCCGGGAGCUGGCAGCCGCACCCCCGCGGGGCGCACGCCCGCGCCCUCCCAGCUCUCGGCCCUCGGGCGCAAGCCUCCUCCAUAGCAGGCGGAAGAGAGAGUCUCCUGCUGGUUUAGAAGAAGCCAUGUUAAAAAAAAAAAAAAAAGAAGAAGAAGCCAUGUUGUGAUGGAUCUCGUGGCUAGAAUCCCAGAGCAACCGCUAAGUUUGUGGUAAGUUGUUACAUAGCUAUGAAAAACUAAUACCUUCCCCAUUUUCUGUAGUCUGUCCUCUCAGAAUUAUUCUGAGCAUUUGCUGGAGCUUCUCAUUCUACCUUCU
RNAcentral lists this long non-coding RNA (377 nucleotides) under Dasypus novemcinctus (nine-banded armadillo). Its description in RNAcentral is "lncRNA (ENSDNOG00000050168.1)". Lineage: Eukaryota; Metazoa; Chordata; Mammalia; Cingulata; Dasypodidae. The record is from RNAcentral.